AAAAAUUUUUUUCUCCUUACGGGGGAGACAGUCAUGAGACGUGAGUAUAAGACCUGAGUGUAAAGACCUUAGGGUGAAGCAAUUGGAGGGCAAGCUUUGGUGCCAGCAGCCGCGGUAACUCCAACUCCAAGAGUGUCUAUGGUGGAUGCUGCAGUUAAAGGGUCCGUAGUCGUGAAUGCAAUUAAAUGUCGUUGUUCAAUAGCGAUGAGUUUGCUAAUGUUUGCGGAACGGAUAGGGAGUGUAGUAUAGACUGGCGAAGAAUGAAAUCUCAAGACCCAGUUUGGACUAACGGAGGCGAAGGCGACACUCUUAGACGUAUCUUAGGAUCAAGGACGAAGGCAGGAGUAUCGAAAGUGAUUAGACACCGCUGUAGUUCCUGCAGUAAACUAUGCCGACAGCCUGUGUGUGAGAAUACGUGGGCGGGAGAAAUCUUAGUGUUCGGGCUCUGGGGAUAGUACGCUCGCAAGGGUGAAACUUAAAGCGAAAUUGACGGAAGGACACUACCAGGAGUGGAUUGUGCUGCUUAAUUUAACUCAACGCGGGAAAACUUACCAGGGUCAAGUCAUUCGUUGAUCGAAUACGUGAGAAUGGCAGGGGGGUGGGUGGG
RNAcentral lists this ribosomal RNA (607 nucleotides) under Enterocytozoon bieneusi. Its description in RNAcentral is "SSU rRNA". It matches the Rfam family "Microsporidia small subunit ribosomal RNA", at positions 295 to 909 of the family's 1311-position model. The record is from RNAcentral. Lineage: Eukaryota; Fungi; Microsporidia; Enterocytozoonidae.